GGGGCCAGAUGUGCCAAUAGUGUGAUUAUUUCCACCUUGCACUUGUGGUUGAACAACAAAAGGAGGGGCUGGUAGAGAGCCUCUGAUGCUUGCCUUUUGCUUUUUUGCUUUUCCAGCUCAACGAUGAGAUCUGUGACCUUUUGAGUUGGAAAUCUGGAUUCAAGCUUGUAAUCUGCUACGCAUUCUAAUAUGGUUCUAAGAGCAGCUACUUCUUUACCUAUGGCCUCAACCUGUGCUUCAGGCAAAUCCUUUCCAUAAAGGGAGAUGUAUGCA
This 273-nucleotide unclassified non-coding RNA is filed under the name Hevea brasiliensis (rubber tree). Lineage: Eukaryota; Viridiplantae; Streptophyta; Magnoliopsida; Malpighiales; Euphorbiaceae. The record is from RNAcentral.